GCUUUACUGUAACCUGGAAUUGGGUUCGGGCCCUUUUUGCGCAGACUAAGUGGGAGGCGUAGAAAAUUUUCUUUCGGGAAAAUUGGAGCCAUUAUUGAGAGACCACUCUGGAAGAGCUAGAAUCCUAAUAGUGAUCCUUGUAUCAGGAUAAUUGACAGUUUCAGGUAGGCAGUUUCUCUGGGGCGGAGGCCUCCUAAAAGGUAACGGAGGCGCGCAAAGGUUCCCUCAGGCUGGACGGAAAUCAGCCGAAGGAUGUAAAGGUAUAAGGGAGCUUGACUGCAAGACCUACAAGUCGAGCAGGGGCGAAAGCCGGCUUUCGCCCCCG
This 325-nucleotide ribosomal RNA is filed under the name uncultured alga. Its description in RNAcentral is "bacterial LSU rRNA". It matches the Rfam family "Bacterial large subunit ribosomal RNA", at positions 2098 to 2423 of the family's 2925-position model. The record is from RNAcentral.